AUUGAACGCUGGCGGCAUGCUUUACACAUGCAAGUCGAGCGGCAGCGCGGGGGCAACCCUGGCGGCGAGCGGCGAACGGGUGAGUAACGCAUCGGAACGUAUCCUGUAGUGGGGAAUAACUCAUCGAAAGGUGAGCUAAUACCGCAUAAGCUCUGAGGAGGAAAGCGGGGGGACCGAAAGGGCCUCGCGCUGCAGGAGCGGCCGAUGUCCGAUUAGCUAGUUGGUGAGGUAAAGGCUCACCAAGGCGACGAUCGGUAGCUGGUCUGAGAGGAUGAUCAGCCACACUGGGACUGAGACACGGCCCAGACUCCUACGGGAGGCAGCAGUGGGGAAUUUUGGACAAUGGGGGAAACCCUGAUCCAGCCAUGCCGCGUGAGUGAAGAAGGCC
RNAcentral lists this ribosomal RNA (388 nucleotides) under uncultured bacterium. RNAcentral's name for it is "bacterial SSU rRNA". It matches the Rfam family "Bacterial small subunit ribosomal RNA", at positions 29 to 416 of the family's 1533-position model. The record is from RNAcentral.